RNAcentral lists this ribosomal RNA (368 nucleotides) under uncultured organism. RNAcentral's name for it is "bacterial SSU rRNA". It matches the Rfam family "Bacterial small subunit ribosomal RNA", at positions 526 to 896 of the family's 1533-position model. The record is from RNAcentral.
CGGAGGGUGCAAGCGUUAUCCGGAUUCACUGGGUUUAAAGGGUGCGUAGGUGGGCAGGUAAGUCAGUGGUGAAAUCUCCGGGCUUAACUCGGAAACUGCCAUUGAUACUAUCUGUCUUGAAUACCGUGGAGGUCAGCGGAAUAUGUCAUGUAGCGGUGAAAUGCUUAGAUAUGACAUAGAACACCAAUUGCGAAGGCAGCUGGCUACACGAAUAUUGACACUGAUGCACGAAAGCGUGGGGAUCAAACAGGAUUAGAUACCCUGGUAGUCCACGCCCUAAACGAUGGAUACUCGACAUACGCGAUACACUGUGUGUGUCUGAGCGAAAGCAUUAAGUAUCCCACCUGGGAAGUACGAUCGCAAGAUUG